CAACGUAUGUAACCUACCCUUAUCAGGGGGAUAGCCUCUCGAAAGAGAGAUUAAGCCCGCAUAAUAUGAAGACAUAGCAUUAUGAUUUCAUCAAAUAUUUAUAGGAUAAGGAUGGGCAUGCGGAACAUUAGCUAGUUGGUAAGGUAAUGGCUUACCAAGGCUACGAUGUUUAGGGGAUCUGAGAGGAUGACCCCCCACACUGGUACUGAGACACGGACCAG
RNAcentral lists this ribosomal RNA (221 nucleotides) under uncultured bacterium. RNAcentral's name for it is "partial 16S ribosomal RNA". It matches the Rfam family "Bacterial small subunit ribosomal RNA", at positions 113 to 334 of the family's 1533-position model. The record is from RNAcentral.